Long non-coding RNA from Falco peregrinus (peregrine falcon), 6709 nucleotides. RefSeq lists it as uncharacterized. The transcript has 3 exons. The record is from RefSeq and is a predicted model, not a curated record. Lineage: Eukaryota; Metazoa; Chordata; Aves; Falconiformes; Falconidae.
AGAUGGUGCUUGCAGAAAAGUCAUGUGAAUAUGCUGAAUGUUAAAAAGCCAUUCUGAAAUAUCACCUAUCAAACUCCCACUCAUUUGUCAUCAGGCCUGGAAUCUCUGCAAUGCAUACUGCACAUAGGUUUUAAUUUUUUUUUUAGUGGUAAAUUUUCCUAUAACCUGAACUGUUCCAGCAAGAAAUACUUAUCCUCAUGCACAACUUUUCUGUUUGUUUCGUAACAGUACCAACAUCUUUUCUGUAUCCAAGCAGAAGAGCAUUAAGGAAGAGAAAGUCACUUCUCUUCCUCUGCUGUGGACUUGGCAAGAAGCCACCUCAUUUAUGGUGCCAGGACAAGGAAAAUAGUAAUAAUACAGAGAAGAAUACAAAAGAACUACCAUUGUUUCACUGCAGUCCAUGCGAUAGAUAAACACGACAAAUUCCACUGGAAAGAGACAAAGUUGUAAGUUUCUGAAAAGCAGCAGAAGGUAAAGCCCAGUGAAUAUGAGGUAAAGAGAAGCUAUAUAUCCUAAUCAAUAGAGCAUUCAUAGCUCCUGUUUUGUGCAGCUUCCAGGUGCUGGGGCGAGUACAACAAUGUGCUUACAGCAGUAUGUUACAACACUGUUUCUUUUGGUGUUCUGUGGAUGUAUCCAUCCAUGCUGUAGGGCCAAAAAAGAUGUGCUUACAGAUCUGUUUGGGCUUCAGCAUGUACCAUCUCAUGUGGGGUCUGAGGACGUGUUUUGCCUGAGGUAAACACAAAAGGUGUUUUUAUUCCAUACAUACAGUCCUUAUAAAACCUGCAGUAGCUAAAUUCACUUUGACUAGUAUUUAGAGGAAUGGCUUGAACAACUCGUGAGUACAACUUGUCAGUGUUCUUGGCAAGCUCUGCAGGGCUGAAUUAUCAAAAACAAUUUUAUGAUGAUGACUAUACACUGACUAUACACUUCUGAGUGUGACCGGUGCAAGGUUUCUUUGCAGGCUGGCAAACAGGAAGAAUAACUCUGUUAACACUAGAUGAUUGCACUUCGGAAAGCUAAACCACUGCAGAUAGUUUGGGGUGUGUGUGUGUGUGUGUGUUUGUUUGUUUUCCUGAAAAGCAAUGUUUUUUAAGUCCAUUUAAUGCUGGAAAGGUUGGUAUGAAGUAUUGCAUUCUUUGCUUCUGCCUUCAUCUCUCCGUAAGUUUUGGCAGGUUUUUUGGAGGCAUAUCAGUAGAAGGUGAAUAUAUACAAGAAAUAUAUGCAUCCAUAUAUGUUACCCCUGGCACAGGGAUUAUAACUGUCUUUGUGAUGCAGUCUGCCUAACUGUCCUCCCAUCAGCUGUUUUACAGGCUGUAGUUUUUGCUGUGUUGACCACUGAUACUUUUAGGUAAUGAUAUGAGAAGAAGACAAGAAUGUAAUUUUGCUGUUUGUUGGUUUGUGGGUUUUUUUAAUAACUUUCAGGUUUUGUCUCUCUUCUACAUCAGUGAAUCUGGCAAGGGAAGAAUAAUCACAACACUUUUAUCUCACAGAACCCCCCAAAGAGAUAAAACCUGCUCACCGUAUAUGAGGCGGACAGGUUGCAUGGCACUAAUAGAGACAAAAGGGCAGAAGUGCCAAUAGCUGUCCUACCUGCAGGCUCUGCUUAAAGUUCUUCACUGUCAACAAAGUACAAUUUGAAGGUUUCCGUUUCUUUCCUCCACGAUGUCUUUAUAUCUGCUACAUCUCAGCAGUGCAUUAUUUUCCUUUUUGGCAUACCAGCUUCCCACUCCUGAGCCUCAAUCUUAAUACCAUCCACAAAAGUCGAUGAAGCAUGCCAAGUUCCAAAGCAACAUUAACAAAAUGUAAGUGCCACAUUAAGCUUUCACCAUGACCUUUAUUGUGACCCUUGUGUUUCCCCACUCUUCCUGGGUGUUAUCUCCUGUUGUAGUGUACCCUCCUCUGGGAGGAGCUAUCCCUUUUUUUGCUGUAAAGCAUUCUGCUCUGCCGUGAUGAAUAAAAAAUAACAACAGUGGGUUACAGUAUGCAUGGCAUGAAGGACGUGGCUGCCAGGAGCAAAGGCUUGAUCCUCGUGUUCCACAAAAAGAACAGCUCAGUGUAUUUAGCACAUUGCUUCAAUGAUUAAUCCAGUGAAUAAAGGUGGAGGGGUUUUUUUCCUAAGGCACAUGAAUAUUUUUUUAAAGUAAGUUCUAAUUCUGCUGGAGCAACAAAGCCUUAGAAUUCAAUUACCUAAUUUUUACUAGUCUUAUAAUGACAGGUGAUCAGGAAUGGAAAAAAAAACACAUAAAAUAGUGGACUACUAUGUCAAACAUAUUUUACUCAAAUAAUCUUUUUGGUAUCCAGGAGCUUAUCAGAAACCUCGUAUCAGGUACGGGCUGCUCUGGGCACAGCCUUUUGUUUCUUACUGGAAUGGUAUUCAAUUCAGUUAUCUGAAUUCAGACACUGCAAACAGAUGUAUAUUGCAAGAAGCAUUGGGUAUAGAUUUUCAUAAUUUGUAUUAUCAAACUUGUCCUUUAAUGUAGGGUUUGUCCCUUCGCUACAGUGUAGCUCUACCUGGAGGCUAUUUAGUAAACAGCUUUGCUGGACUCAGGCCCAUUGGACACUAUUUAACAUUGUUUCAGAAGACAAAAUCGGGGCCACCAGAUGAGCAACCGAAUCUAAAAGUGAUUUCAAAGUACAUUCUCUGGUGGUACAAUACACAUCUUUCCAAUUUAUGGUCAUGAGUGGAUAUCAGAAAAACAUGAAAUCAACCAUAAUUUAUCCAAAGACUGCCUGACUUUCAUGAACCGUGGGGACAAAUAAAAUGUGAAUACCUUCCAGAAGAAAACACUGUAGCUAGGUCUCAAAGGUAACUAAAAUCUGACUAAAUUGAUUUAACAUCUGUAUAGGUCAAUUUCUAAAUCAAAGCGUCAUUAGUGUAAUAUAUAUAACAGCUGUGGAGUUUCUGUUUCUGGAGUGAAAGAAACAACGUAAGAGCUAGAAACAGAAAGAAUAAUGAAAAAGAGUUGUUCCAACUGGGCUGUUCUAGGAAUUACAGAGUUUUAAAAAAUCAGCAUUGUAUUAAUAUUUUAUAUUUAAUCAGAGAUAAUUGGGUUUGGAUUAAGUACAUUUUUAUUCCAGUAUUCCAUUCUGAUCUUUCCAAAUGUAUGGUUCACCUUUAUUUACUUAAUAAUACAUAUUUUCCUGUAUAUAGGUCAUGGGAUUGAUAGUGGGAUAAUGACUGAUUUGAGUCUUUGUCUCUUCUCUAAGAGCAAAUAAAAGUUGAACAGUCUUAGGAUUUUUAGCUAUGUAUAGGCAAAGAGCACUCUACAAAAUUAAGUGAAAUUAUAAGACUUUGCCCCCAAGAACUGCAUACUGAGGUAAACAGGAGCAAGAAUUCUACUGCAAUUAUGUCAAUAGCAGUCAAUGAAGAGCUAACUAAUUUAAAAAAAAAAAAAAAGUUUGCAAAAGAAAUAGGGCUUUAAGGACUGAUAUAAAGAUGACAGGAAAGGACAGUGGGUGCUUGUUAAGAGGGACAUUGCCCCAGUCAAGGGGUUUGAAGACAGAGGGGAAUAAAACUCAUACUGGUGCUAUGGGCAACCAAACAAUCCAAUAGUGAUUGCAACCACUCCUCGAUCUAUUUUUAAAUAACCAAAGCGAGUGGCCUCUACCACCUUCUUCCAAGGUGUGUUUUAACAAACAACUGAACUGAUGUAACACCUUACAGCUGCAAGGGGGAAGAUCUCACUUCUUCCUGCCCUCUGCUGAGGUCCUCCUCUCACCCUUGUGCCUGCUCUGGUGCUUGGUGGCUCCCGGCUGAGUGAACUCAAGUCACUAACAUACAGAAAACUAUCCAGUCUUUUUGGUAGGUUAGUGAGUCAAAUGUUGACUCACUAGGGAGUACGAAAAAUACCAAAGCCCAAAGAAGUUAAAUGGUGGAGCCCAUGCCUGAAGGAAGGGGUAGGAGGAGGGAAUGGGAUUUUCUGUUUUCAGCAAUGCUGAGUGGCUACAUCAACAUCAUCCCAAAAGACUACUCUGCUGACAGAACACCAUAAAAUAUAGCUCUGUAGCCUGUGACACCUUGGUUUGAAGAUUUCUUUCUGACUUAGUUUCCAGUCCAAACUUAGCCUAUGGCAUUACCCUUAAUAAGAAAACCGAUGCAUUUUCACUUUGUGUUGUAAUUAGAGCUUUACUGGAUUAAAAAAAAAGGCUUGGAUUUGUUUUUACUUACACCGAAGUGCUUGUCCUAGAGCACAGUAAUAUGUAAUACUUAAUCUAACUGUAAAAUCUGAAGUGGACAGACAGCACUUGUAAUUCUACCACCAAGUAAUUAGGUGAUGUCAGCACACUCACGCCCUUGGUUAAUCUAGCCUCAUUUACCCUAUAAUAACAUAACAGUGCCUUGCCUUCAACCCAUUUUAUUCAGUGGCACAGGUAGCUCACUCUGUGUAUGUUGCAUUAAAGGCUGUGUGGGGGGGUGUAUGUGUGUGUGUGUGUGAGGUGACAAACCUGCUGACAUGUGGGAGAGUGACAGGGCACUUUAUCUUUUACAUCGCUUCAACAGGUAAACUCCCAGAAUGUAAAUAUUUCAAGACAGGACAUAAAGAGUAGGUAUACAGACAAGGUUUUUUUCUUUCCCCAUUAAAUUGGAGGUAUAGUGAGCUAUCAGAUACAUUUGAAAAUCCUAGUCUGGACAUGAAACAAACAUUUGUAAUGCUGAACCCCAGGAUAAACUGCAAACAUUUUGUGUUCUUUAGCAAAUAUUUGAAGAGUUACACACAGAUGAAUUAGGUAAUCAAAGAAACUGGAAUCAGUAGCAUGACUCAAAAUGGAUGCAAAACCCUAUGAUAUAGCUCUGAUUAAGCACUCUUUUGUGAUGCUUCUUGUACUUAGCUUCUUCUGGAACAGCAUCAGUGAUCCACCUGGUGCGUUUCCCUGUCCUGUCAUCCGUGUUUCCCAGUGGCUUGGGAACCUCUGGGGUCUCCAGCUGUGACUGUUGAAACAGGGAACCCAGACAACAUGUAUGCGAACCUUGGGAGACUUAGAGCUUUGUUCUGAUCCAGGAGAGAGACGUUCAUCUAAAACCAACCAACCCUCAGAACCAAUCUACCCUAAAACCAACAAGACAAAGUAGCACAGACGCUUCCGAAACAAGACUGCUACACUGGGACAGAGCUUCAUAAUGAAAGAAUUGCUACGAGACACUCUCUAUCUGGCCUUGAAAUAUAUGGAAAAGCUUUUUUAUUUUGCAAAUGAAAACAUUUUGUGACAGUAAUGUUGUGCAUGACUGUGGAGACCUCUGACAAAGCCAGCUGGCUUCUGGAAAAGGAAAAUCAGCGACUGCACAAGUCUGGCUGCUUGUUUCACAACUGUCACGCUGUUAGGCAAUAGUAAUAUGGUUAUUGCAUAUUAAUAGAAUAUAACACUAAUUAAAGCUUAUAUUAGCUAAAAGCCUAGUAAAUAAUCUAAUUUCUGAUUUCUAAAAGCUAGCACAUUUAAAUAGCUAAUGGAUGUUUAUGAUAUUUAGUAUGUUAUUAAGAUUUGAACUGUGAUACAAAUUUACACAAUCCAGUCAGUAAUCUACACUUAAAAAGCACUUUCAAUACGAAAGGAAUCAGUACAGUCUCCUGGGUAAAUAUUUUAAUGCAGGAUACACUCUCCUCCUUUACUACAGAAGCUUUCUGCAACACCAGCCAUUUUUAUGGACAAAAUGUAUGCAACUUCUUUAGAGGAAAACACUUCCGAAACAGCAAUUAAGACAGCUCUUCUCUGUGUCUGGGAUAACACAGUGAUGUUCACUGACAACACGGUAGAUGGAGGCUGCUACAAGUUUGGUUUCCAGUAAGUGUGGGAUGGGGAGCCCACAGCUCAUAAACAGGAAACAGCCCACAACUCAUUUUAAAUUCCAAUAAAUAUUUUGUGGUUUUACUGCCCUUGGGACAGUGUUAGUGUGUGAGCCAGGACAAGGUCUGUGAAACAUCUAUUUGCCCCGCAGAAAAGCUACCCGAGUUCGACAGCUAGGAUAAAGCCUAGACAGCCUGGCACACCGCUCACUGGCAACAGUGAAGCCCCAAUGUGGUGAAUCCCUCAAGAUGUGUAUAUUCCCAGGAGAAACCCCACAACCAUACCAAGAUCUUACUUUUGACAAUUGUACUGCAGCACUUGUACAAUGUCACCUCAGGGACCAGCAAUACAAGUACACGUGCAAACAGAUCUCCUAAAUCUAGUCUGAAAGUUCAAUAUGGAAACUCAAACACAAGUGUCCUUACUCUCCACAGGUUCCUUGCCAAAACAAGACUGGAAAGAGUUUUAAGAGCUGAUCACAUAUCCAGAGAAACACAAUAUAUAUUUGUAACUGCACAGAAGUUUUUUCUGUUUGUGUGUAUUUCAGGGGGAAAAGAAAGCAAGAAAGAAAGCAAGAAAGCAAACCAAACUGAAUGGAAAACUAAUCUGCUUAGAUAACAUCUUUUAUGGAAAUAGUCCCUGAACCUUUAUCAGCUGAGCCCUGUUACACACAGACUGUGGGGAAAUACGUAGGUGUUAAACCUGAGAAUUAACUCACUAAAUCAACUGAUUCUUGUGUCACUGGGUGUUGGCCUGGCUUGGGACGGACCCAUGGAGCAGCACUAAUGGUUGCGAAGUCGGGCUGUGACCAGAACCAGCUUGAAACAGUCUGAAAAAGGUUUAAAUAAAUGUGAGGGGUUUCGUUAGCUUCUUUCCUGCUGUUAAUACUGCCUUUUAUUGGUUGGUAUUGAAACAUGCUUUCUGGUGU